GGUCGUGUGGUGCAAUGGUAGCACUCUGGGCCUCAACCCCCAGAGAUCCCGGUUCGACCCCGGGCACGGCCU
Aspergillus heteromorphus CBS 117.55 is the source of this 72-nucleotide non-coding RNA. The record is from the annotation of a RefSeq genome assembly. Lineage: Eukaryota; Fungi; Ascomycota; Eurotiomycetes; Eurotiales; Aspergillaceae.